This 774-nucleotide ribosomal RNA is filed under the name uncultured Neocallimastigales. RNAcentral's name for it is "partial large subunit ribosomal RNA". It matches the Rfam family "Eukaryotic large subunit ribosomal RNA", at positions 23 to 648 of the family's 3401-position model. Lineage: Eukaryota; Fungi; Neocallimastigomycota; Neocallimastigomycetes; Neocallimastigales. The record is from RNAcentral.
AUAGAGACUCAGAGCUGCAUAUCAAUAAGCGGAGGAAAAGAAACUAACAAGGAUUCCCUUAGUAACGGCGAGUGAAGCGGGAAGAGCUCAAAUUUGAAAUCUUCAAGGUUCUACCUUGACGAAUUGUAGUUUAAAGAAGUGUUUUCUGUUAGAUGAGUAGCAAAAGUUCCUUGGAAUAGGACAUCAUAGAGGGUGAGAAUCCCGUAUUUGGUUAUUCAUUCUAGCUUUGUGAUACACUUUCAAAGAGUCGGAUUGUUUGGGAAUGCAGUCCAAAAUGGGUGGUAAAUUUCAUCUAAAGCUAAAUAUUGGCGAGAGACCGAUAGCGAACAAGUACCGUGAGGGAAAGAUGAAAAGAACUUUGAAGAGAGAGUUAAACAGUACGUGAAAUUGUCAAAAGGGAAGCGUUUGACACCAGUGUUGUUUUUCCGAAAAUCAAUUACGAAUGUUUUGUUUUUGAGGAGUUAUGACUUCAUCGGCUUGCUCCUUUCUUUACGAAACUUUCUUAAUGCACUUUUCGGUUAACAAGUCAACAUCAAUUUCUUUUGUUGUAAAAGGGUAUGAGGAAGGUGGCUUUCUUUUCGGAGAAAGUGUUUAUAGCCUUGUGCCUCUGCAAUCGGAGAGAUUGAGGUCUGCAGCGUAGAUCCUUCGGGGUUAGAUACGUUUGUGCUAAGUUAUAGCUUUUCAUAGACAACUUGUUGACUAUGUUUAGUCUUGUAGCUUACUCGCUGACGCUAUUUUACCUACGCUUAGGAUGUUGACGAUCAGCUGAGCGCG